Long non-coding RNA from Parus major (Great Tit), 2243 nucleotides. RefSeq lists it as uncharacterized. The transcript is spliced from 3 exons. Lineage: Eukaryota; Metazoa; Chordata; Aves; Passeriformes; Paridae. The record is from RefSeq and is a predicted model, not a curated record.
AAAAGACUAAAAGCACUCUUAUCAACUAACUACAAACUGGGGAAUACAUAUUCUGAACGCUGUGACGUUGUGAAUGUGGGAGGCAGGAGGAGGACACUGUCUCAGAUUUGCUGUUGGCCCUGGAAAGAAAGAAGAUGGAAAAGGAAGCUAUUAAAAAUCAGCCAUACAACAGGUUCAGUCACGUUUGCUGUUCCUGCUAACAGCAAUGGCUGUAAAUGAAAGAAGCUCUGGAUAUCUCCGAUAACACGCUGGAUCCAUGAGCCUCAGCAGCAGCCAGUGAGGGUGUGAAGCUCUCAGUGCUGCUCAGGAAGCACUCAGACCCUACUGGGAUGACUUCCAGUGCACAUCUUCCAUCGCAGCUGGAGCACUGCAGCUAGAGCGUGGUGCCGCCUGUGACUGCGAGGGUACAGAGGGAGAACAAGCAGGCUGAAGGCACGGGAACAGUUGUUGCCCAGGGGAAUUGCAAAAGGCCAGUACGUUGCAUCUUCGCUGUUUUUCGGGGUCUCAUCCUCAAAUCUGUGAACCAGCCAUCACCCAUUUGAAAGUGAUUCAUUGCUGGGUCAUCCAAAGGCCAUUUUCAUGUCAUUCCUGUUCUUGGAGGCAGGAACUUGGUAAUGAGUUCCAGCAAGACAAUCAAACCCUCCCCACAUCAUGUUGCAAUGUCCUGGUACCGCGGUGCCGUCCCGGGAGCCCUGCGCGCUGCGUCACCGCUGCAGCCCUGGCACGCACACAAGGACAGUGGCACUGAAAGGGCCGUGCUGAUCCCUCUCCAGAGAGCAGGGCAUCAUCCUGCCCAGCAGCAGGAAUUUUCUCUGAGGCUCAACCCAAGCAUUCCAAACCACUUUGCGAUACACCUAUUUCCUAGCUAGUGUUACCUGCUAUGGAAUGUGAUGCUAACUUUCCACAGGCAAGUUAACAGACUGGCCUUUCAUAUUUAAAGCUGUGCCAUUAAAUAAAUGGCCCGACUUUCACAUUUUUAAUUACAGUUGAAGUUGUUGGGUAUCUGGGAAAGCACUAAUCAAGAGAAUUUCAGUAUUUUACUUUCCAAGUGUGCCUGUGAAAGCACGGACUCAUUAGGAAUUUUCAGCUUUAGGCAAGUCUGUAGUGAAAGAAAAUUAUAAGGAGUACCCAAGAAAAUUAUAUUUAUUGCAUGUGCAUGAUUUGGAAGAUGGAUAGAUUCAGAGAAAAGACAACCACAUGCCUAAAGUGUUAAUCUGGAGCUGAGGAGAUUUCAGUGCAGCUGUUGGCUUUGGAACAGAGGUUUGUGAAUCUGGGAUAGUUGAUUAAGCCAGGAUUUGCCAAAUCCUCAUCAGAGAUGAGACUGUCAUUCUCAAAGGUCCUGCCAGAGCAAAUUAAUUACUGCUGAGGACUGAAAUUUUAUUUCUUUGUGCCUGACUUCUCCUCAACACAAUAACAUGUCUCCAUGCAGACUGAAGGUGCCUGUCUCCCAGUCAGUCUUGAGUUACUGAGGCUUUCAGGAUCAUUUAUAGAGGUUCAGAAAAAGAAACUGAAAAAAUCCACAGUAUGGAGAAAAGUUAGCAGCCUUGAGAACUUCAUGAUUAAUAUUUUAAUACUUCCAUACAUAUAUAUGCAUUUUUAAAAAAAACAGGAGUAGAGGAUUGCCAUGGAUUACAUGGAUUAAGUAAGGAAUUGGCACAAUUCUCAAACACAAGUAGUACAGAGCUUGGACAAUGUAAGUGAUACUGGGUUUUCUUUCUUUCAAAAGUAGGGCUUGGGAGUAUACUUGGAAGUAUGGACCUUGAAAGAAACAUCAACUUUAUUCUGGAUGAUUCUGUAAGUUUUGUGUGAAACAACACAAAUUAUCUUAUAAUAAUAAUCUUACCUUUACAUAAUGUUAUCUUUAAUGUUUCAGACACUUUAACCCUUUAAAAAGAAAUAGUGUAAAUCUGUGACUCAGAAAAAUAGUGUCUUGUUUCCUUUGUUUCUGGGACAGAUCUGCCUUUUAAUCCUUUGGAAAGGAUUCAAGCAAUAUAUUUCACCUUCAACAUAUUUUAUAAACAAAUAAACUAUCACAAGAAAAAGAUUUGAGGUGGAUUACCAUUUCACUCCACACCUCAGAGCCAGGAAAUUCAGCCACCAGUGACACACUGGUUUCAACGCAGCCCAUUUUGUUUUCAUAGUAGUGUCUGUUACAGACACCACCUGAAAGCUGAACUUCCUGCUUGAAGCUACACAGGUAUCAAUCCUUUAAUGAAGGAUAUGCAUGAUUUAUUUCUCUUCUC